Molecule: non-coding RNA, 73 nt
Organism: Deltaproteobacteria bacterium GWB2_55_19
Lineage: Bacteria; Deltaproteobacteria
Source: Rfam
GCGGGAGUAGCUCAGUUGGUAGAGCGCAACCUUGCCAAGGUUGAGGUCGCGGGUUCGAGCCCCGUCUCCCGCU